Long non-coding RNA from Orcinus orca (killer whale), 12865 nucleotides. RefSeq lists it as uncharacterized. NCBI's taxonomy places the organism in Eukaryota, Metazoa, Chordata, Mammalia, Artiodactyla, Delphinidae. The record is from RefSeq and is a predicted model, not a curated record. The transcript has 2 exons.
UUAUGUUCCAUUAAUAGAUUAAGAUGAAAUAAGGAAACGGCAGGGUGUAAUAUCUAUGUAACGAAGAGAGUUUGAAUUGUCUGUAUUCAUAUCAGAGCUCUUCUUAGAAAAUGAGUUAAUUACCAGACAUGAUUUUGGCAGGAGAGGAGUAUAAUUUGGAACAAAAUAUUCAGCUUUUUUUUUGGUAAAUUUCUAAUUGUUAUCUUCCCCUAGAUGAUCGUAUAAAUUAUCAUAAUUAUGAAUACCAGGUAGCUAGUGAUGUCAUGAUUAUUAACUAUAAUACCUUUCUAGCCUGACAAGAGAAUCGUGGUUGGUUUUUCCCUACUUAUUUAAGUGAGAAUAAAUAAUGUAGAUAUAAAUAUAUUUCAUUGUGGAAACUGAUGAGCAUUUUCUACCCGUUUGCAUAACUAUAUAACCUCGCAAAUUAAUUUUUGUCCGCUGUAAGGUAGUGAUUCACUGAAAACCAGCUAUUGAAUUAUGGUUUUCUCACUGGUUAUAUUUUAAACCUGAAACCUCUCUGAACCCUGCGGUCUGAACAGUUUGAAUUCAUCAAUUCGGCAAUUCCUGUUAAACCUUUUUGCAAAUUCUGGCCUGCCUUGUGUCAGUAAGGACUGCUAGAGAAAUGAUCUAAAUAUUUUCUUCAUCCCCAAUUACCCAAUUAUUUUUGCAUACUAUGAAACUGUUGAUCUCAGAGUGAGUCUUUUAUGAUGCCUUUCACCCAUUUGUUUAUUUUCCCGUGUUAACACUGGGGGUGUAGAUAAUUAAACCAUUCCUAAAAAUAGACCCAGGCAAAGAUCACUUGUCUUUCUUGCCACCAGUGUAUCCUUAUUCUGCAAGAGUCACAUUGUUUCAUGUUUUUUAAUUAAUGAGCAGCCAGUCUAGUUGAUAGACAUAGGAUAAAGGGAAUUUCAUAGUUAACUGAACGUCAGAUGCCCCACUAAAUUUGUAUACUUUGGGGGUAUGAUCAUUUAUAUGUGUUUAGGAAAUUUAUAUGGGUUUUAAGCUAACAUUGAAUCAGUCCUCAGAACAAACCCCACAAGAUAAGUUCUGUUAUUAUCCCCAUUUUAGAGAUGAGAAAAUUGAGUAUCAGCAAGAUACAAUAACUUGCCCAAGAGCACACAGCUGAUAAGAGUACAAACUCUAGGUUAAAAAGCAAGGAUUAAAAAAUGCUACCUACAUGUGUAGGCAUACACAUGUGCUAUAUCUAGAGGGUUAUUUUAGAGAUCUUUCGGCAAAGGCUCAGACAGAUUUCAAAAUAAUUGCAAUGUCUCCAUAUAUGAUGUCAACACAAGUAGAAUUAUCUGUUUUAAUUAAUAAUUUGCUCAGAGGGAGGGGAAGUUUGCUAAGAGAACCCUGUGUCAUUCCAAGGAAUUAAAUAUCCCUUCUCUAAGGAUUCAGGUAUAAUGAUUAGGAUGUAUCUUAAAAUAUUUGGUGAAAUCUAGUUAAAAAAAAUUUUUUUUCAAUAAUUUUUUUGCCCAGGUAUAAAAAAAGCUGUUGGCUUUUGUUUUUAGAACGGGUUUUUACUCAAACUGAAGAGAGCAAUUAUGCUUUAGUGGUCAGGUGAAAGGCUGUUGAAGACAUUGGCAAUCCCAUGAAGUCUGUUUUUAAAAAGUUGGUUUUGAUAUUCCUUUGAACAUAAAUUUAAGGGAAAUUUAAUGCAAAGGUAACUUUUAUGAAUUAUUUAUAUAUUCCUAAUUGAAAAAAUCUAAGACGGCAUUCUCAACAUUUUAACUGGGUUAAGAUUGGCUCAGAAUUAAAAAUACUUUUCUUUUCUAUUUUGCUACUUAUAAAGUGACAGAAUGAAUUUAUGUGACCUCAUAGUUUGUUUUCCAUUCUCAGUUUACUGACUUUUGAUAAAGGUUUGCUUUGGGAAAAAUAAAAAUUUCAGAAAAUGUAUCAACUAUAUGUAUAUGCACAUUAUUAAUAUUUUUAUGGAGCUAAUGGGAUGUGUUUAACAUGUGAAAUUUUUUUAAUCAGAUGGUUUCUUAGAGAUUAAGCGGGUGUAUGAAAUAAUAGUAGACUAAGAUUGAUACUAAAAGAUACUGUUAGAAACUAACUCUUCCCUUAGAAUUGUUGUCUGUUAUGCUGAGAAUGGAAAAUGGAUGAGUCAAUAUACCUGGCUGAAAUUUGGUAGGAUUAGAAACUAAGUUGUUGCUUUCUGUUCACCAUCCCCACCAUUUUUAGGAGAGUGUGUAUAUUUCUGUGUGUGAGAGAGUGAAGAGAGAGAAAGAGAGAGGUUGGGAGAUGGGGAGCUGAGAGCAAGCAUUGGGUUGAGUUGUAAGUCACAAUAAAAAUAAGUGAUUUGAAAAGAAUCUUUAUGACAAGAAAUUCCUAAUAGGGUUUUGAAAAUAUAAGAAGUUAGUAAACUGAGUACCGUGGUGCUUACUUAAAUGAAUGCAGUUCUGUGUGUGUGUGUUUUAGAGAAUUAUUCUUUUGAAUAAUUUUUUGGCAAAAAAUACUGUUUUGAGUUGAUAUGAAUUACUUGGUUAAAUCUGAUAUGAAAAGAUUUGAAGAAACAUUUAUUUGACUGGGAGCCCAGACACCUAGGUUGUGGUCUUGGCCCUAUCAGUGUCAUAGCAUUUGGGGACCUCAGUUUCUUCAUAAAAUUGGGGGUGGUGGUGACCUAGGUGAUUCCUAAGUUCCUUAUGAUUCUAAAGCAAGCUACUGUGAAAUUUAAACUGCUGCAAUCACAGUCCAUACUUUUUUCUAAACACUGCUAUCUUACUUAAAUUUAUUGCCUUAAACACUAUUAAUUUUAGGAAAGACAUUUUAUAGAUUAGUAAUUCAAUUUCCGUUGCUUUUAGAAAGCAUUCCUUAGGUGUUAUAGAGAGAUCUUAAAAUUUACCACAGAAAUUACAGGAUAGAAUUUACAUGGCUAUAUUAUAAUAUUGGCAUUCAAUCAAAGGCUAACAUGGAAUUAUUAUAUUAAAAGGAAAUAAUUUACCUGAAAUGUAACUAAUACUGGGCAGUGUUUAUUUUAAUUUGAAAUGAAUCAGAAUGGUUUUUACAUUUGUUUAAUUUAGGUUUGGGUACAUACAGUGAAUUAAAAUUCAUGAUGACAUUUUAAAUUAAUUUUGGGGGCCAAUCUUAACCUUCUCUUUUACCCAUGUUUAUGGAGCAGGAGCAAAGAUUCCAAAUAUGUGAAUAAUCCUCUAAAUAACUGAUAUGACAGGCAUUAUAUUUUGGGAUUUUCUUUGUAUUAAAAUUUGUUUCUAAGUUAUUUUUGCUUAGCUUAAAGUUUUCAUUAUGUGGAUGCAGAUAACAUGCCUGAAAUCCAGUUUUCAGAUACAACUAAACUAAUAUGUAUUUAAUAAUAGCUAACAUGCCUUUGAUAGUCUAAGUGUUUUACAUGUAUUAACUCAUUUACUUCAUUCAACAAUCCUAUGAAGUAGAAAUUAUUAUUGUUAUUAUUACUAUUCACACAUGAGAUUUGGCUUUUAACCAUUAUACUACAGUGUCUUUUCACAUAGACAUGUUACAGAUGGGGGCAGCGGUAAAUGCCUCCCGGAAACGUGUAAGAUGAGAGAAAAAUUUUUACAGUGAAUCAUUGAUACCUGAUGAUUAAAAGCUGAUUAUAAAGUUUUGAAAAGUGGAAAAUAAUAGAAUAUAUUUAUUUGUCAACUUCAAAAUAUUAAACAAAUAAUAUUCAAAUCAAUAUUUUUUUGUUUGAUUUUAGUACGUACUAUAUACUAGGUACUGAGCUACGUGCUUUCACAUAUGUUAUCUCACUUCAUGUAUAGGAUUUCUCAACCCUAUGAGGCUUAGUUUUAUUGUCUUAAUUUCAAAAUGAAGAAACAAGGGCCAUGUUUAUGUGACUAAAGGCAUGAUUUGACCCUUACAUUAAGGGGAGGAAAAUCCUACCCAUCCUGCCAAACACAUCCUGGAAUCCUGAUGUCCAAACCAAAUAAUAUAUUGGGGCACCUGCCAGUAAUUAAUUUGAAUAUAGCAGUUCUUUGGAGGGGUGCCUAGAUCUUCUGUCCUUACAGGAAUGUAAAGGAGAAUGUAUGCUAUAUAUCCUAGUACUCUCUUAUAUUCAGCUCAGUUAUGCCCCCAUCUCCAUUAGCUAAGAACCAAGAAGAAGACCAAAAAGAAAAAAAAAAAAAGAAAAGAAAAAGGAAAGGGGGGAGACAAAAUCUGUUACAAAGAUGAUCCUAAAACUUGAUUGAUAGGGAGACAUUUUAGGAUUUGGAGCCCAUUUGCUCUUACUUGGUCACCAUGGAUUUGUUAAGUUGUCUUAACCAGGCAAAUAAUUUAUGUUACUUUAAUAACUCUCCUUGUGUUUUCAGUUUAUUGAUCCUCAAAAUUAUAUAUGGCAUCUUAUAUCUGAAAACAGAAAGUUACUGCAUCGCUUCGGGUCUGAAAGUCAUGGUGAAUUAUCAAUAUUAAAAUUACCUAAAGUGCAACGUUGUUACAUUUUUUGUUUUCUCAUAUAGUCCCAAGGGAUAUAGGAAACAUUUUCUUUGACUUUGUAUUAAUCUAUAUUAGAAGAUGGGAAAGUAAUUUUUUUUAACUGUAAGGUAUGGGUUGGUUGGUUCUGGUUCCAGCAGAAUUGAAAUAUUGGAAAAGUUUGGGAAAAGCUUACCAGAUACCAUUUUACACCUUUCUGUAGAAAGCCUUUUAACUAGGUUUAAUUGCUUUUCUGAUGGAAUUGAAACUUGGGCAGGGUAGUUUUUUGAUUAUUUUUUGAUGUGUCUUCAGGGAAGCCAUGGAAUAUGAUCAACACACUGUUCCAACAUCUUUCAGGAAAAACCUGGUUAUUGCAAGCCUAGUGAAUGUGCUUGUUGCUAGUUGCAACUAGAAAGAUGUUAUUUAGUUCAUGAGUUUAUGCUUUUGAGAAUAAUUUUUGUUGGUGUUCACGAGAAAGAAAUGGAAAAGUAGUCUUAAAGUUAACAUAUGCCUAUUUUGAAUUUUACAGUCUAAAUCUAUUUUCCUUACGACUUUUUUGCUCUUUCUAUUAAGGAAAAUAAGCUUGAGGUUCCAUUAUCACAUUUUUUCAGCACUAUAUUUUACCUCAGUUUUUGGUCCCAUCACAGAUGAGAUAAUAUAUUUCUAUUUAAGGCAGGGAGCUUGUAACAUGAGCAUUCAUUUUAAUUUUUCCUGACAAAAGUCAUUUUGUAUUUAAUUGCUCAAACAAAAUUGUUCUUGAGGAAAUUAAAGUAUAUUUUUACCAUGAUAAAUUUAUAGCAGUAUAGAAUUUUUUACUUCAAAGUUAGCGUAGAUUCUCAUCCUAUUGUAUAAUAUUGGAACAGAAGGAGUUACACUUUAAGGUUUUCAGAAAAUUCUCAAUAGAAAGAUAAAAGAUCUAUAUAGAUCCUAUUUUUAAUCAAUUUCUGAAGCUAACACUUGGAUAAUUACUGAGAAAGGCUAUUGUGUGAGGCCAAAAAUAUAGUAGACUGAAGCACAGGCCCUGGAUCCAAACAGACUUACGUUUGAUCUGAACUCUAGUUAGCUGUGUGACCUUGAGCAAGUCACUUAAAUUUGAGAACACAGACCUGGCAGUGAAGGGUUAUUCUAAGGUACUUUAAAUAUGUGGCCGUAUUAGGUAGAUUACAUUUUUUUGUUUAAAAUAAAAUUAAAAUCUCUAAUAUUGAGUAAAAUCAGGAAAUUAAAAUAACUACAAAAAGCUUGGGUAUCUAUGAAAGAUUUUGAGCAGUCCUUAGUUUUGCUUGUCUUAUCAUAUAUGCUCCACUUCUCAGAGUACUACUUUUAAAUAAGCUAGAUGCAACCCAGGACAGAUAAAACAUUUAGCAGAAUUAUCAGGAAGCCCGAAGAGAAGUUUUAAUAAUUGUUUAUAUACCUAAACAUUUAUUAGCAUUGGCAGCCUGCAUCUUUCAGUAGUUUGAAAGAUUUUGCCUAUUUUUAAGAAAUUUAGAACAUUUGAUUGUUUUUGUAUACAUUAAAGGAGACUGUACUUUUUUUUAAACAUCUUUAUUGGAGUAUAAUUGCUUUACAAUGGUGUGUUAGUUUCUGCUUUAUAACAAAGUGAAUCAGCUAUACAUAUACAUAUAUCCCCAUAUCUCCUCUCUCUUGCGUCUCCCUCCCACCCUCCCUAUCCCACCCCUCUAGGUGGUCACAGAGCACCAAGCUGAUCUCCCUGUGCUACGCGGCUGCUUCCCUCUAGCUAUCUGUUUUACAUUUGGCAGUAUAUAUAAGUAUAUAUAAGUCUCACUUCGUCCCAGCUUACCCUUCCCCCUCCCUGUGUCCUCAAGUCCAUUCUCUACGUCUGCGUCUUUAUUCCUGUCCUGCCCCCAGGUUCUUCAGAACCAUUUUUUGUUUUUUUUUUUUUUUAGGUUCCAUAUAUGUGUUAGCAUACGGUAUUUGUUUUUCUCUUUCUGACUUACUUCACUCUGUAAGACAGACUCUAGGUCCAUCCACCUCACUACAAAUAACUCAAUUUCAUUUCUUUUUAUGGCUGAGUAAUAUUCCAUUGUAUAUAUGUGCCACAUCUUCUUUAUCCCUUCAUCUGUCAAUGGACACUUAGAAGGAGACCAUACUUUAAUGAAGAAUUUAUGAUUUUGUUCAUUAAAAGACAGGAAAAGGUGCCAUAGAUUUGAAUUGAAUAUAUUUUAGCUUUUAUCCUGGAAUUAAGUUCUGUUUUUUAUAUUUUAAUUAAUUUAUUUAGCAUAUAUUUAUUGAGUACCUGCUAUGUUAUGGACUAGGCAUAGGUAGAUAUCUCAUAAAAAUUGUUUGAUUUGAUUCAUAAUGUAUUUCUGACCUGUGCUAAUCUUUGAAUGAUACUGAACAUGCAUUUUUUAUCAUUGUAAACAAAUUAGCAACUAGCUCAAUAGUUAUAUUUCAUUUUAAUCCAUGAGCUGUUUAAACUUCAAGGCAAACUAACAGGUUCAACUUUAGGUAUAACAGAAACAGAGUGUAAAUGACAGUUCCAAAUAUUUUAUUAAUGGUCACAUUUAUAAAUAUACACCUGUACACAACAUGUGCUUUUUUAAGUUCUGUGACAAAAUGGUACUACAAAAGGCAAACUUUAGCCUGUGGGUCACAGAAUUUAGGUCUCAUUACAUGUCAAGGAAAAAAACUCCAUCAGUCACUUACAGGUUCUCCCUCAUGUUUGCAAACUGAAUUUUUAAAGUUUAAAGUCUUAAGCUGAAGAAGUACUUUUCAUAUUGUAGAGUAUUUAGAUUGGGCAAUUUCUAUUUGCUGCAUAUUUACCAGAUAUAUCCCAGUCAUUGCUUGCUUUUAGCUCUAAAAUAAGUUAUAGUUAAUUCCUCAGUAUUAUACACUUUAAAGCCAUAUUUAUAUUUAAAUGUUAUGCAGCAUACUUUUAAUAAUAGUUUUCCCAGGUGUUUUUGAGGAAUGCAUCUGGUGCUAGUCAGUAAAAUAACUGCUGUAGCCUUACUGUCUCUAAGAACCUUAAAAAGAACCAAACAAUGUAAGAACAGUUGCUACUCAGAAAAACCUCCUAAUUAUCAUAUGGAAGUCAGAUCUGAGUUGAUCUGAGUUUCAACGAUGGCUCUGCCACUUACUAGCUGUGUGACCUAAGGCAAGCUCCUCAACUUUCCUGAUCCUUCAUUUUCACAUUUCUUUUGUCCAGUGUUUUUGAAGUAAAAUGAAAUAUGCCUAAUAUUUGGCUUCCAAAAGAUUCUGUUGGUAUAAGAAAGUCAUCAAAUAGAAAUAUUAAUUCAAAAUUUUGCAAAUAGCACAGAUUCUUAAAAGGUGAAAACCAUUGUGUAACUGGUAUAUGGUAAUUUGAGUUUAACUCUAAAGAAGAAUUUUAUAAUCUGAACUAUAAUUUUGUUUAAUAAACUCAAUACUUAAUAGUGGGAGUCAGCCCAGAUGAUGCUCCCAUUUUCUUGAACAUUGCUGGAAAAUUUAGUGACCAACUGGUUUUUUUGUUUGUUUGUUUGUUUCCUCUUUGGAUAAAGUUUUUCCCCCCAAGUCUUUUUCAUUUCUUAUUAUGGAAAAGUUUAAACAUAUUCAAUAAUAGAGUAGUGUAUAGCAAAUUCCCAUGUACAUACAUGUCACCUGGCUUCCAACAAUGAUCAGCUCCUGGACAGUCCUCUUUCAUCCAUCUUCCUAACUGUCUCUUCCUGCUUUCAUGUUAUUUUGAAGCAUUUCCCAGGUAUUGUAUCAUUUCAUCUGUAAAUGGUUUAGUAUGUGUCUCUAAAAGAUAGUCUUUUUUUCCCCCCUUAAAAACAUACAAAAAUAUCUUCUAGUUGUUUUUUAAAGAAAGAUAGUGAGAAAUUGAAGCAAGGCCCACAUUUCUGUUGUACCUGCUCAGCCUGUUUCACUGCUCAACCUGAUGCUAAUCUCUAAAGAAACCACUAUUGGCCGCAUCUCCCUUCUAGGUCAAGAAGGGUGCUGGUGGUCACAUGGCUGUCAAAAAAAAAAAAAAAAGAGAUCCAACAAGACACCAAAACAUCAGCUGAUGACCACAAAUUUGGGAGGAGAUUGUUCAGUUUUCCUCUCUUCAUUUCAGCCGCCUUCUGGGUUCAGGCUUCUGUGGACUUGGGGGAAGGAUCUCCAAAAGGAGAGAGAACAGGACAGGACUGAGAGCGUUUUGGUUGUGUUUUUGUUUGUUAAUGUGUUUUUGUUUUUCCAAAGGGAAAUUUAAAGGUUUGGGGUCUUUUGCAGGCCUUUGGACUGCAUCACAUUUUUUUCAUCUGUUGCUGUUUUUCAACCCACAAAUGUUUGAUGCUUUCAAUGGACUGUGUGCUAGGAGUACAUGACCAAGGCAGACAUGCUCGUCCUCGUGAACUGUACAGUCUGGUGACCUCUUGCUCUGUGCCUGCGUGUUGAGAAGUGCCUUCUGCUCCGGAGACUGGAGAGCUAAGGAUGUGGCGGGGGGAGCUGUGAGGGCCCAGAGGCCGACACUGGGCACAGGCUGCCUUUUGACGUUGCUGUCAAGGCUCAUGAAAGAGAAGAGACAUUAUGGAUGUUAUGGGUUAUAGGAUACAAGCCUCAGUUUAAGAAUAAAGAUUGUGUAUUUGGGUGACCGUUCUCUCUGCUGACUCCGGACCCUGAUCAGGCCCAGCAGAUGUAUAGCAGAGGACUGCUGACUGCCAGUAAGCAGCCAAAGAUAGAGGAAUGGCCAGAGGGUCUAAAUGACUUCAUUCCUUAGGGCCUAGUUUUAGUAGCUCUUCCCACUUUCCUGAACUAAUGACCUCUUGCCCCAAAUAGCUUAUUAGGUAGGAAAUAUCUUUUUUUUCCCCUUUUUUGUUUCUCUAUGAAAGUGAGCUAUGGGAAAUAGCAGAGAACAGCUGAAUUAUUCAGAUACAAACAAUACCUAAUUUAAUAUGUUAGUUUCGGGCUCUUUUGCCAUUUCACCAGAAAGAGAAGGGGCGGAGGGAAUGUUUAUUGAGAGGAUCUCCUAGCUGGCGGGUGUGGUGCGGACCUUGUCUCAUUUCUCCGCACCCCAGUUUUAUAAGGGAGGUAGGAUCCUUAUUUCUAUGAUGAAAUCAAGGUUCAGAGACAAUGCAGUGUCAAGAUCAGUUGUCUUCUAAGUGGUGAUUUACACGCAGGUCUUGGACUAGAUUUUAAUUAUUUCCCUCUGCCAGGCAAGGUGAAAAUGAGCAAAUAGUUAACAAGAGGAAGGGGUCUAUUGAUUUAGGAACUGACUAAUCAAGUCUAGAAUGCCAAGUUGUGUUUUUAAUACAGUCAAGUGGUGACAAGAAAUAUUUACCACUUUAAGGAUUUCUAAUGGUGAACCUGAAUGUGGUUUAUUUAGUGAAGGUGGGAUAAAAGAAAAUUUUCUCAAAGGCUUUCUGGAGAGAUCAGAUUCAUCAGUUCAUGUGGAAGAAAAUGGAGCUAUUGAUCCAGUCAGGGUAAUACCCCAAAGACAUUGAUUCAUUUUGUUAUAGUUUAUUAUUCUAUUAGGAAGCACUUGGUAGCCCAAGAUCUGGAAGACUCUGCCUCAUUAUAAAGCGGUCCUAAUGAGAAAGCACUGACUGAAGAGGGAUCCUGCUAAGAAAUAUGAGAUGCUAUUAAAUGUGGUUUCUCCUACUUCAGGUAAUUACCUCUUUCACUUUAACCUCUGACACUUGUUCUCUGCAUUCAGACCCUGUAUACAGUGAAGGAUUUCAUACCUUGCAGGUGUUGAUAGAUUGGAAUUUCUAGGUCAUGACAAAGCUCAUUUAAAUGGACCACUUUUCUGAGCUUCUGCUCUGAAGUCAGACUCCACCACUUACUUUGUGACUUUGAGGGCAAGUAGUUAACUUCUCAGAACUCAUUUGCCUAAAAUGGGGGUGAUAAUUGUAUCCACUUUACAUGAUGGUUGUGAGGAACUAAUGUACAUAAAUCAUACAUCAUUCAUCUGAGACACAACACGGAGCCAGGAGGGACAUGUUAGCCACUUUAAUGAUGAUGGUAACGAUGACGAGGGACUUACUGGAUGCUGCACAGUUGCUACAGUCUGUGGCUGUGGAGGUGAGUGGAGCUCGCAGUCCAGUGGCAGAGGGGGUGGGUAGCUGUAACAGAACUUGUCAAUAUCAUGUGGGCUGUCAGCGUUCUAGGGGGAUAUGGGGAAAAAGGGACUUGUGCCUGCACAGGGAUGGAAGGGUCAUCUGAUAGUGGAAUCUUGAAAGCUGACUAUAUUGCCAACCUUUGGUAUCCGUGGCCUUAAAUACUUAAUCCAAGAAAAAUAUUUACAUUUUGGCAAAUUUUGGAUUAAAACUCCCAGAGUUACCUUUGAUUAAUUAUGGGCUGUGCUGGCAUCUUAGACUUCCUAUUUAUUUUGGCAGCUAUACACUGGCAUAGACUUUGCCUUUCAAACCAAAAUAUUUUCCUUUCCCUUCUUCACCAGGGAAAGUUUAAGCCGGAAAGAGAAACUUCCAUAAGCUGAUACAGAUACCUAGCAGUCUGAGAAGUGAUGCUCACAGUAAUGUAUGUCUUUAUAGGAAGGCAAUGAGUAAAGGGAGUAGCUGAAUUUUGGCUUUGGUUCUUAAUAAUGUGGGCACGUUCAAUUAAGUACAUUUUGUGUUUUAGACCAGGUCUAGUAAUGCUAAAACAUACUAACUCAAGUAUAAGAAGACAGGAACAAUUAGUGGAGUGGUCAAGGUGGUUGUUCUGUUGAAACUGAACUGAAUUGUAAUCUUUUUUCCAAUUUAUGCAUCUUAGAGCUUGGAAGAGAGGGCUUUGAUUUGGGUUUUGAGAGCAAAGCCCUUUCUCUUCAUAAGGAAACCUUAGAAUGGUUGAUGUAGAAUAUUUAAGCUGGACUGCAUCACAGCUGUCAACAGGAUGUAAGCUACAACUCACACCCCCAAGUAUCUAAUGAAGUUAACCUGUGGAAUGGAAUUGCUUAACUCAGUGGUUCUCAAAGUGUGGUCCCUGUCUUCACUUAGAAACUUGUUAGAAAUGUGAAUUCUUGGACCCUACCCAGACCUACUGAAUGAGAAACUUGGCGGGUUGACCCGGUAGUCUGUUUUGACAGGACCUCCAGAUGAUUCUGAUAUACUCUUAAGUAUGAGAAACACUGGCUUACAUUAUCCAUCUGGAUUUUUUUUUUAAAAGCUACAAAAAUGAUAAUUUUGGUUUGUGGCAUAAUUGCAAUCUGGUUGUUCAUCCUGAUUGUAAUAGACCCAACAGGUUCACGUCCUUCUUGUGGCUACUCUGGGAUGUUAUAAAAAGACGUGUCAUCAGUUCUUUGCUUACGUAGGUCUUCCUAUUUUGCUGUGGCAGUCAGGAUUAUUCAGGUGUAUAUUAAAAGGACAGGUCCUGCUGUUUGAAAUACUAAUUUGUUUUGUCAGAAGGUUAUUUUUAUCAACUUUGAUUUUCAUAGUGGCUUGUGUGGUUUUUCCUUUAGAAAUUGUCCUGUGAAGUAGAGAUGACAGAAACUGAAACCAACAAGUUACAACUCAAUAUAUUAAAUACAAUUAAUUUUUACAAAAUAAAAAGAGGUCUACACAUUGUAAUCAAGUUUGCUUUGCUGAGCCUUGAAAAUAAUUGAUGGUCUUUUAUUUUCAUUCAUGAAAUGUUCUAGAGUCAGAAGGCCUGGGUUCAAAUUCUGCCUUCUCCAUUACCUGAUGUUGGUAAAGUUACUUAAUCAUGCUAAACUUCACUUUUUUCAUCUGUGAAAUGGAAUAAUAACUUAACACUUAACUGUAUAGGAUUUUUGUGAGGAAUAAAUGAGAAUAUGCAUGUAAAGCAUUAGAGCUUGUUAAACGUUAGCUGCUGGUACUAUUAUUAUUGCUAUUACUACCACUUCUGCUCCUGUGGUUGGCCGUAGUUAACCUAGAGAUACAUUUGUGUUAGGUCUUUAAUUUGUGGACCACAUCUAUCUGUCAUCUCAACAGGAAGAAGGAAGAUAAAGCUUCUUUAUCUUUUCUUAUGUUUUUAGUAUCUCCGAUAUUAUCCUAUAUUACUCUUAUACAUAAUUUUUGUUCUUUCUUUCAUUUAUUGAGUAAUAUUUUAGUGCCUACUGUUUGCCAGGUACUAGCCAGCACAUUCCUGCCCCUAGGACCCUUAUGGCAGACAGAGUAUCUCAUUUAUUCUAAUAUAUAUCUUAACUAAUGUGGUCUUUUGACUGCCAUGACCAUUACUUUACCCAAGGCAGCCCAUUUGCUUUGGAGUGAAACUUGGGCUUGCAUCCUGACUAAGCUGCUGAACUAGGCAGUAACCUGUCUGUGCAGUAAACUGUGGAUUUUCUCUAGUCUUAGUUUUUGUCAUUAAAAUGAGAAUAAUAGGGCUUCCCCGGUGGCGCAGUGGUUGAGAGUCCACCUGCCAAUGCAGGGGACAUGGGUUCGUGCCCCGGUCUGGGAAGAUCCCACGUGCCGUGGAGCGGCUGGGCCCUUGAGGCAUGGCCGCUGAGCCUGUGCAUCCGGAGCCUGUGCUCUGCAAUGGGAGAGGCCACGACAGUGAGAGGCCCGCGUACCGCAAAAAAAAAAAAAAAAAAAAAAAAAAGAGAAUAAUACAA